CCUACGGGGGGCUGCAGUGGGGAAUAUUGGACAAUGGGGGGAACCCUGAUCCAGCCAUGCCGCGUGUGUGAAGAAGGCCCUCGGGUUGUAAAGCACUUUCAGUGAGGAAGAACGCCUGGUGGUUAAUACCCAUCAGGAAAGACAUCACUCACAGAAGAAGCACCGGCUAACUCCGUGCCAGCAGCCGCGGUAAUACGGAGGGUGCGAGCGUUAAUCGGAAUUACUGGGCGUAAAGCGCGCGUAGGUGGCUUGAUAAGCCGGUUGUGAAAGCCCCGGGCUCAACCUGGGAACGGCAUCCGGAACUGUCAAGCUAGAGUGCAGGAGAGGAAGGUAGAAUUCCCGGUGUAGCGGUGAAAUGCGUAGAGAUCGGGAGGAAUACCAGUGGCGAAGGCGGCCUUCUGGACUGACACUGACACUGAGGUGCGAAAGCGUGGGUAGCAAACAGGAUUAGAUACUCCGGUAGUC
RNAcentral lists this ribosomal RNA (465 nucleotides) under Vreelandella stevensii. RNAcentral's name for it is "partial 16S ribosomal RNA". It matches the Rfam family "Bacterial small subunit ribosomal RNA", at positions 338 to 795 of the family's 1533-position model. Lineage: Bacteria; Pseudomonadati; Pseudomonadota; Gammaproteobacteria; Oceanospirillales; Halomonadaceae. The record is from RNAcentral.